UACAGAGGUGGCAAGCGUUGUUCGGAAUUACUGGGCGUAAAGGGCGCGUAGGCGGUCUUGUAAGUCUUGUGUGAAAUCCCUCGGCUUAACUGAGGAACUGCACGGGAUACUGCGAGACUUGAGUUCGGGAGAGGGAAGCGGAAUUCCGGGUGUAGCGGUGAAAUGCGUAGAUAUCCGGAGGAACACCGGUGGCGAAGGCGGCCAUCUGGACCGGCACUGACGCUGAGGCGCGAAAGCGGGGGGAGCAAACAGG
RNAcentral lists this ribosomal RNA (253 nucleotides) under uncultured bacterium. Its description in RNAcentral is "partial 16S ribosomal RNA". It matches the Rfam family "Bacterial small subunit ribosomal RNA", at positions 524 to 776 of the family's 1533-position model. The record is from RNAcentral.